UCGAACGAACUCUGGUAUUGAUUGGUGCUUGCAUCAUGAUUUACAUUUGAGUGAGUGGCGAACUGGUGAGUAACACGUGGGAAACCUGCCCAGAAGCGGGGGAUAACACCUGGAAACAGAUGCUAAUACCGCAUAACAACUUCCACCGCAUGGUCCGAGUUUGAAAGAUGGCUUCGGCUAUCACUUCUGGAUGGUCCCGCGGCGUAUUAGCUAGAUGGUGAGGUAAAGGCUCACCAAGGCAAUGAUACGUAGCCGACCUGAGAGGGUAAUCGGCCACAUUGGGACUGAGACACGGCCCAAACUCCUACGGGAGGCAGCAGUAGGGAAUCUUCCACAAUGGACGAAAGUCUGAUGGAGCAACGCCGCGUGAGUGAAGAAGGGUUUCGGCUCGUAAAACUCUGUUGUUAAAGAAGAACAUAUCUGAGAGUAACUGUUCAGGCAUUGACGGUAUUUAACCAGAAAGCCACGGCUAACUACGUGCCAGCAGCCGCGGUAAUACGUAGGUGGCAAGCGUUAUCCGGAUUUAUUGGGCGUAAAGCGAGCGCAGGCGGUCUUUUAAGUCUGAUGUGAAAGCCUUCGGCUCAACCGAAGAAGUGCAUCGGAAACUGGGAAACUUGAGUGCAGAAGAGGACAGUGGAACUCCAUGUGUAGCGGUGAAAUGCGUAGAUAUAUGGAAGAACACCAGUGGCGAAGGCGGCUGUCUGGUCUGUAACUGACGCUGAGGCUCGAAAGUAUGGGUAGCAAACAGGAUUAGAUACCCUGGUAGUCCAUACCGUAAACGAU
RNAcentral lists this ribosomal RNA (783 nucleotides) under Lactiplantibacillus pentosus. Its description in RNAcentral is "bacterial SSU rRNA". It matches the Rfam family "Bacterial small subunit ribosomal RNA", at positions 62 to 810 of the family's 1533-position model. Lineage: Bacteria; Bacillati; Bacillota; Bacilli; Lactobacillales; Lactobacillaceae. The record is from RNAcentral.